GUCCACGCCGUAAACGAUGGAUACUAGCUGUUGGGGGCAACUUCAGUGGCUAAGCGAAAGUGAUAAGUAUCCCACCUGGGGAGUACGUUCGCAAGAAUGAAACUCAAAGGAAUUGACGGGGGCCCGCACAAGCGGUGGAGCAUGUGGUUUAAUUCGAUGAUACGCGAGGAACCUUACCAAGGCUUAAAUGUAGAUUGACCGGUUUGGAAACAGACUUUUCGCAAGACAAUUUACAAGGUGCUGCAUGGUUGUCGU
RNAcentral lists this ribosomal RNA (255 nucleotides) under uncultured bacterium. RNAcentral describes it as "partial 16S ribosomal RNA". It matches the Rfam family "Bacterial small subunit ribosomal RNA", at positions 793 to 1055 of the family's 1533-position model. The record is from RNAcentral.